UUGAAUCAUAUUUUGAGUGCAGCUCAAACCAAAGUCAAAUUCCUUGUAUUCUGUGGAUACUUAGCACUUAAAAGCUGUUCUGAUUCGGAUUCUGAUAAACCAGCAGACGUUUAUGAAGAAAAUGCUGAUGAACCCUGUUUUAUUUGAAACUUCAAAGUUGUUGCUUCAGUUCUUUGUCACUCAGUUUUCUGUGAUUUUCAGGGAACACUUGAGAUAAAAUGGUAACAGCUGAUUUUCAUAUUAAAAGACAGUUUCCCUUUUGGAAACUCUCCCAAGAAAUCUGAUCAGUGUUCAGAGAAUCUUGAUGUCUUCAGGGUGUAUUAAA
Thalassophryne amazonica is the source of this 325-nucleotide long non-coding RNA. RefSeq lists it as uncharacterized. The transcript is spliced from 3 exons. NCBI's taxonomy places the organism in Eukaryota, Metazoa, Chordata, Actinopteri, Batrachoidiformes, Batrachoididae. The record is from RefSeq and is a predicted model, not a curated record.